RNAcentral lists this ribosomal RNA (845 nucleotides) under uncultured Verrucomicrobiota bacterium. RNAcentral describes it as "bacterial SSU rRNA". It matches the Rfam family "Bacterial small subunit ribosomal RNA", at positions 62 to 870 of the family's 1533-position model. The record is from RNAcentral. Lineage: Bacteria; Pseudomonadati; Verrucomicrobiota.
UCGGACGCUGAUUUUACCGUAGCAAUACGGUGAAGUCGGAGUGGCGUAAGGGUGCGUAACACGUGGGUAAUUUGCCGUGAAGUUUGGGAUAACUUGCUGAAAGGCGAGCUAAUACCGGAUGUGACUAUUGGGAGGCAUCUCCUGAUAUUUAAAGUUGGGGACCGUAAGGCCUGACGCUUCACGAUAAGCCCGCGGCCUAUCAGCUAGUUGGUGAGGUAACGGCUCACCAAGGCUAAGACGGGUAGCUGGUCUGAGAGGACGACCAGCCACACUGGAACUGAGACACGGUCCAGACACCUACGGGUGGCAGCAGUCGAGAAUUUUUCACAAUGGGCGAAAGCCUGAUGGAGCGACGCCGCGUGGGGGGAUGAAGGGCUUCGGCCCGUAAACCCCUGUCAUUUGCGAACAAACCUUUUCAUUGAACAGAUGAAAAGCUGAUUGUAGCGAAAGAGGAAGGGACGGCUAACUCUGUGCCAGCAGCCGCGGUAAUACAGAGGUCCCAAGCGUUGUUCGGAUUCACUGGGCGUAAAGGGUGCGUAGGUGGUGGGGGUAAAAUUUUGAUGGGGAAAUCUCCCAACCUUAACUCGGAAAUGGCAUUGAAUACUACUCUGCUAGAGGGUCGGAAGGGAGACUGGAAAUUUUCGGUGUAGCAGUGAAAUGCGUGGAUUUCGAAAGGAACACCAGUGGGCGAAAGCGAGUCUCUGGACGACUCCUGACACUGAGGCACGAAAGCUAGGGGAGCAAACAGGAUUAGAUACCCUGGUAGUCCUAGCCCGUAAACGGUGCACAUUUGCUGUAAGAGGAAUCGACCCCUUUUGUGGCGAAGCUUACGCGCUAAAUGUGCC